RNAcentral lists this ribosomal RNA (1346 nucleotides) under uncultured bacterium. Its description in RNAcentral is "partial 16S ribosomal RNA". It matches the Rfam family "Bacterial small subunit ribosomal RNA", at positions 28 to 1381 of the family's 1533-position model. The record is from RNAcentral.
GACGAACGCUGGCGGCGUGCUUAACACAUGCAAGUCGAACGGAAAGGCCCUGCUUUUGUGGGGUGCUCGAGUGGCGAACGGGUGAGUAACACGUGAGUAACCUGCCCUUGACUUUGGGAUAACUUCAGGAAACUGGGGCUAAUACCGGAUAGGAGCUCCUGCUGCAUGGUGGGGGUUGGAAAGUUUCGGCGGUUGGGGAUGGACUCGCGGCUUAUCAGCUUGUUGGUGGGGUAGUGGCUUACCAAGGCUUUGACGGGUAGCCGGCCUGAGAGGGUGACCGGCCACAUUGGGACUGAGAUACGGCCCAGACUCCUACGGGAGGCAGCAGUGGGGAAUAUUGCACAAUGGGCGGAAGCCUGAUGCAGCAACGCCGCGUGCGGGAUGACGGCCUUCGGGUUGUAAAACGCUUUCGCCUGUGACGAAGCGUGAGUGACGGUAAUGGGUAAAGAAGCACCGGCUAACUACGUGCCAGCAGCCGCGGUGAUACGUAGGGUGCGAGCGUUGUCCGGAUUUAUUGGGCGUAAAGGGCUCGUAGGUGGUUGAUCGCGUCGGAAGUGUAAUCUUGGGGCUUAACCCUGAGCGUGCCUUCGAUACGGGUUGACUUGAGGAAGGUAGGGGAGAAUGGAAUUCCUGGUGGAGCGGUGGAAUGCGCAGAUAUCAGGAGGAACACCAGUGGCGAAGGCGGUUCUCUGGGCCUUUCCUGACGCUGAGGAGCGAAAGCGUGGGGAGCGAACAGGCUUAGAUACCCUGGUAGUCCACGCUGUAAACGGUGGGUACUAGGUGUGGGGUCCAUUCCACGGGUUCCGUGCCGUAGCUAACGCUUUAAGUACCCCGCCUGGGGAGUACGGCCGCAAGGCUAAAACUCAAAGGAAUUGACGGGGCCCCGCACAAGCGGCGGAGCAUGCGGAUUAAUUCGAUGCAACGCGUAGAACCUUACCUGGGUUUGACAUGGAUCGGGAGUGCUCAGAGAUGGGUGUGCCUCUUUUGGGGUCGGUUCACAGGUGGUGCAUGGCUGUCGUCAGCUCGUGUCGUGAGAUGUUGGGUUAAGUCCCGCAACGAGCGCAACCCUUGUUCACUGUUGCCAGCACGUUAUGGUGGGGACUCAGUGGAGACCGCCGGGGUCAACUCGGAGGAAGGUGGGGAUGACGUCAAGUCAUCAUGCCCCUUAUGUCCAGGGCUUCACGCAUGCUACAAUGGCUGGUACAGAGAGUGGCGAGCCUGUGAGGGUGAGCGAAUCUCGGAAAGCCGGUCUCAGUUCGGAUUGGGGUCUGCAACUCGACCUCAUGAAGUCGGAGUCGCUAGUAAUCGCAGAUCAGCAACGCUGCGGUGAAUACGUUCCCGGGGCU